Molecule: ribosomal RNA, 1085 nt
Filed under: Salmonella enterica subsp. enterica serovar Montevideo
Lineage: Bacteria; Pseudomonadati; Pseudomonadota; Gammaproteobacteria; Enterobacterales; Enterobacteriaceae
Description: partial 23S ribosomal RNA
Rfam family: Bacterial large subunit ribosomal RNA
Source: RNAcentral
GAAACCGUGUACGUACAAGCAGUGGGAGCACCCUUUGGGGUGUGACUGCGUACCUUUUGUAUAAUGGGUCAGCGACUUAUAUUCUGUAGCAAGGUUAACCGUAUAGGGGAGCCGGAGGGAAACCGAGUCUUAACCGGGCGUUAAGUUGCAGGGUAUAGACCCGAAACCCGGUGAUCUAGCCAUGGGCAGGUUGAAGGUUGGGUAACACUAACUGGAGGACCGAACCGACUAAUGUUGAAAAAUUAGCGGAUGACCUGUGGCUGGGGGUGAAAGGCCAAUCAAACCGGGAGAUAGCUGGUUCUCCCCGAAAGCUAUUUAGGUAGCGCCUCGUGAAUUCAUCUCCGGGGGUAGAGCACUGUUUCGGCUAGGGGGCCAUCCCGGCUUACCAACCCGAUGCAAACUGCGAAUACCGGAGAAUGUUAUCACGGGAGACACACGGCGGGUGCUAACGUCCGUCGUGAAGAGGGAAACAACCCAGACCGCCAGCUAAGGUCCCAAAGUCAUGGUUAAGUGGGAAACGAUGUGGGAAGGCCCAGACAGCCAGGAUGUUGGCUUAGAAGCAGCCAUCAUUUAAAGAAAGCGUAAUAGCUCACUGGUCGAGUCGGCCUGCGCGGAAGAUGUAACGGGGCUAAACCAUGCACCGAAGCUGCGGCAGCGACGCUGAUGCGUUGUUGGGUAGGGGAGCGUUCUGUAAGCCUGCGAAGGUGGCCUGUGAGGGUUGCUGGAGGUAUCAGAAGUGCGAAUGCUGACAUAAGUAACGAUAAAGCGGGUGAAAAGCCCGCUCGCCGGAAGACCAAGGGUUCCUGUCCAACGUUAAUCGGGGCAGGGUGAGUCGACCCCUAAGGCGAGGCCGAAAGGCGUAGUCGAUGGGAAACGGGUUAAUAUUCCCGUACUUGGUGUUACUGCGAAGGGGGGACGGAGAAGGCUAUGUUGGCCGGGCGACGGUUGUCCCGGUUUAAGCGUGUAGGUGUGUGUUCCAGGUAAAUCCGGUUCACUUUAACACUGAGGCGUGAUGACGAGGCACUACGGUGCUGAAGCAACAAAUGCCCUGCUUCCAGGAAAAGCCUCUAAGCAUCAGGUAACAU